Molecule: ribosomal RNA, 440 nt
Filed under: uncultured bacterium
Lineage: Bacteria
Description: partial 16S ribosomal RNA
Rfam family: Bacterial small subunit ribosomal RNA
Source: RNAcentral
CCUACGGGCGGCAGCAGUGGGGAAUAUUGCACAAUGGGGGAAACCCUGAUGCAGCGACGCCGCGUGAGUGAAGAAGUAUUUCGGUAUGGAAAGCCCUAUCAGUAGGGAAGCAAAUGACGGUACCUGUCUCAGAAGCCCCGGCUAACUACGUGCCAGCAGCCGCGGUAAUACGUAGGGGGCAAGCGUUAUCCGGAUUUACGGGGGGUUAUGGGAGCGUAGACGGCGCGGCAAGUCUGAAGUGAAAGGCAGGGGCUUAACCCCUGAACUGCUUUGGAAACUGCCAUGCUAGAGUGCUGGAGAGGUAAGUGGAAUGCGUGGUGUAGCGGUGAAAUGCGUAGAUAUUAGGAGGAACACCAGUGGCGAAGGCGGCUUACUGGACAGUAACUGACGUUGAGGCUCGAAAGCGUGGGGAGCAAACAGGAUUAGAUACCCGUGUAGUC